CCUACGGGAGGCAGCAGUGGGGAAUAUUGGGCAAUGGACGCAAGUCUGACCCAGCAACGCCGCGUGAAGGAAGAAGGCUUUCGGGUUGUAAACUUCUUUUAAGGGGGAAGAGCAGAAGACGGUACCCCUUGAAUAAGCCACGGCUAACUACGUGCCAGCAGCCACGGUAAUACGUAGGUGGCAAGCGUUGUCCGGAUUUACUGGGUGUAAAGGGCGUGCAGCCGGAGAGGCAAGUCAGAUGUGAAAACCGCGGGCUCAACUCGCGAACUGCAUUUGAAACUGCUUCCCUUGAGUAUCGGAGAGGUAAUCGGAAUUCCUAGUGUAGCGGUGAAAUGCGUAGAUAUUAGGAAGAACACCAGUGGCGAAGGCGGAUUACUGGACGACAACUGACGGUGAGGCGCGAAAGCGUGGGGAGCAAACAGGAUUAGAUACCCCGGUAGUC
Molecule: ribosomal RNA, 442 nt
Filed under: uncultured bacterium
Lineage: Bacteria
Description: partial 16S ribosomal RNA
Rfam family: Bacterial small subunit ribosomal RNA
Source: RNAcentral